AUUGAACGCUGGCGGCAUGCCUAACACGUGCAAGUCGAGCGGCAGCGCGGGGUCAACCCUGGCGGCGAGCGGCGGAGGGGUGAGGAAUUCGUCGGAAUCUGCCUUUUUGUGGGGGAUAACGGAGGGAAACUUACGCUAAUACCGCAUACGUUCUACGGGAGAAAGGGGGGGACCGCAAGGCCUCACGCAGACAGAUGAGCCGACGAGCGAUUAGGUAGGUGGUGGGGUAAAGGCCCACCAAGGCGACGAUCGGUAGGUGGUCCGAGAGGAUGAUGAGCCACACUGGGACGGAGACACGGCCCAGACUCCUACGGGAGGCAGCAGUGGGGAAUUUUGGACAAUGGGCGCAAGCCUGAUCCAGCCAGGCCGCGGGCAGGAUGAAGGCCUUCGGGGUGUAAACUGCUUUUGUACGGAACGAAAAGCCUCUUGCUAAGAAAGAGGGGUCAGGACGGUACCGGAAGAAUAAGCACCGGCUAACUACGUG
RNAcentral lists this ribosomal RNA (484 nucleotides) under uncultured bacterium. Its description in RNAcentral is "partial 16S ribosomal RNA". It matches the Rfam family "Bacterial small subunit ribosomal RNA", at positions 29 to 507 of the family's 1533-position model. The record is from RNAcentral.